Molecule: ribosomal RNA, 443 nt
Filed under: uncultured bacterium
Lineage: Bacteria
Description: partial 16S ribosomal RNA
Rfam family: Bacterial small subunit ribosomal RNA
Source: RNAcentral
CCUACGGGAGGCAGCAGUGGGGAAUAUUGGGCAAUGGGCGCAAGCCUGACCCAGCAACGCCGCGUGAAGGAAGAAGGCUUUCGGGUUGUAAACUUCUUUUCUCAGGGACGAAGAAAGUGACGGUACCUGAGGAAUAAGCCACGGCUAACUACGUGCCAGCAGCCGCGGGAAUACGUAGGUGGCAAGCUUUAUCCGGAUUUACUGGGUGUAAAGGGCGUGUAGGCGGGAAAGCAAGUCAGAUGUGAAAACCAUGGGCUCAACCUGUGGCCUGCAUUUGAAACUGUUUUUCUUGAGUACUGGAGAGGCAGACGGAAUUCCUCGUGUAGCGGUGAAAUGCGUAGAUAUGAGGAGGAACACCAGUGGCGAAGGCGGUCUGCUGGACAGCAACUGACGCUGAGGCGCGAAAGCGUGGGGAGCAAACAGGAUUAGAUACCCUAGUAGUC